GCGGCCCGCUUUAGGCGUGGUUGUGGCUGCAUUUUUAAAUUUCUGCAAUGUGGCACAGAACUCGGAUGUUGCAACAAGUUCAACUGCAUAGUUCCUGAGGAUGAUGAGGACUAAAUAGAAAAAUAAUUUGAUGUUUAACAAAAAAUAAAUAAAAAAUGAUCGAAGUU
Molecule: long non-coding RNA, 167 nt
Organism: Rana temporaria (common frog)
Lineage: Eukaryota; Metazoa; Chordata; Amphibia; Anura; Ranidae
Exons: 2
Source: RefSeq, a predicted model, not a curated record